GGAGAGGUGGCCGAGCGGUCUAAGGCGCCCGCUUGCUAAGCGGUCGUGCGGGUAAAACCGUACCGUGGGUUCAAAUCCCACCCUCUCCG
This 89-nucleotide transfer RNA is filed under the name Candidatus Latescibacterota bacterium. Its description in RNAcentral is "Latescibacterota bacterium tRNA". It matches the Rfam family "tRNA". Rfam says of the family: Transfer RNA (tRNA) molecules are approximately 80 nucleotides in length. Lineage: Bacteria; Pseudomonadati; Candidatus Latescibacterota. The record is from Rfam by way of RNAcentral.